This 127-nucleotide small RNA is filed under the name Marmota monax (woodchuck). Lineage: Eukaryota; Metazoa; Chordata; Mammalia; Rodentia; Sciuridae. The record is from RNAcentral.
GCUGGGCAUUGUGGAACAUGCCUGUAAUCCCAGUGACUCGGGAGGCUGAGGCAGGAGGAUCAUAAGUUUGAGGCCAGCCUCAGCAACUUAAUGAGGCUCUCAGCAACUUAGUGAAACCCUGUCUCAA